GUAACAAGGUCUCCGUUGGUGAACCAGCGGAGGGAUCAUUACCGAGUUUACAACUCCCAAACCCCUGUGAACAUACCAAUUGUUGCCUCGGCGGAUCAGCCCGCUCCCGGUAAAACGGGACGGCCCGCCAGAGGACCCCUAAACUCUGUUUCUAUAUGUAACUUCUGAGUAAAACCAUAAAUAAAUCAAAACUUUCAACAACGGAUCUCUUGGUUCUGGCAUCGAUGAAGAACGCAGCAAAAUGCGAUAAGUAAUGUGAAUUGCAGAAUUCAGUGAAUCAUCGAAUCUUUGAACGCACAUUGCGCCCGCCAGUAUUCUGGCGGGCAUGCCUGUUCGAGCGUCAUUUCAACCCUCAAGCCCAGCUUGGUGUUGGGACUCGCGAGUUAAAUCGCGUUCCCCAAAUUGAUUGGCGGUCACGUCGAGCUUCCAUAGCGUAGUAGUAAAACCCUCGUUACUGGUAAUCGUCGCGGCCACGCCGUUAAACCCCAACUUCUGAAUGUUGACCUCGGAUCAGGUAGGAAUACCCGCUGAACUUAAG
RNAcentral lists this ribosomal RNA (538 nucleotides) under Fusarium subglutinans. Its description in RNAcentral is "eukaryotic LSU rRNA". The stretch from base 190 to 343 matches the Rfam family "5.8S ribosomal RNA". RNAcentral also lists the same sequence under 1 other name. Lineage: Eukaryota; Fungi; Ascomycota; Sordariomycetes; Hypocreales; Nectriaceae. The record is from RNAcentral.